This 252-nucleotide ribosomal RNA is filed under the name uncultured bacterium. RNAcentral's name for it is "partial 16S ribosomal RNA". It matches the Rfam family "Bacterial small subunit ribosomal RNA", at positions 524 to 776 of the family's 1533-position model. The record is from RNAcentral.
UACGUAGGGGGCUAGCGUUGUCCGGAUUUAUUGGGCGUAAAGAGCGUGUAGGCGGCCAGGUAGGUCUGCUGUGAAAACUCGAGGCUUAACCUCGAGAUGUCGGCGGAAACCAUCUGGCUAGAGUCCGGAAGAGGAGAGUGGAAUUCCUGGUGUAGCGGUGAAAUGCGCAGAUAUCAGGAAGAACACCCGCGGCGAAGGCGGCUCUCUGGGGACGGUACUGCGCGAGACGCGAAAGCGUGGGGAGCGAACAGG